UGUGAUGGGGAGCGAAAUUUAGUAGCGAAGUAGCUGAUUUCACACUGUCAAGAAAAGUCUCUAUCGAGGUUAAAGGUACCCGUACCGCAAACCGACACAGGUGGGUGAGGAGAGUAUCCUAAGGCCAGCGAGAGAACUGUUGUUAAGGAACUCGGCAAAAUGACCCCGUAACUUAGGGAUAAGGGGUGCCACCAUCAGGUGGCCGCAGAGAAUAGGCCCAAGCGACUGUUUACCAAAAACAUAGGUUUCUGCUAAGUCGCAAGACGAUGUAUAGGAGCUGACGCC
RNAcentral lists this ribosomal RNA (285 nucleotides) under Clostridioides difficile. RNAcentral describes it as "partial 23S ribosomal RNA". It matches the Rfam family "Bacterial large subunit ribosomal RNA", at positions 1562 to 1859 of the family's 2925-position model. The record is from RNAcentral. Lineage: Bacteria; Bacillati; Bacillota; Clostridia; Peptostreptococcales; Peptostreptococcaceae.